RNAcentral lists this small RNA (19 nucleotides) under Arabidopsis thaliana (thale cress). RNAcentral's name for it is "Ath_wt_07543". The record is from RNAcentral. Lineage: Eukaryota; Viridiplantae; Streptophyta; Magnoliopsida; Brassicales; Brassicaceae.
GCGCAAGGAAGCUGAUUGG